AGCAUUCUCUGGUGUUGAAGGCCCUGCAAAGCAGCAUCGCGGUGGCGGAGCGUCGUUUGCGACGCCCAACACACAAAACAAGCGGUGAGUGCUUUGGGGUGGGGUGACUGCGUACCUUUUGUAUAAUGGGUCAGCGACUUAUAUUCUGUAGCAAGGUUAACCGAAUAGGGGAGCCGGAGGGAAACCGAGUCUUAAUUGGGCGUUAAGUUGCAGGGUAUAGACCCGAAACCCGGUGAUCUAGCCAUGGGCAGGUUGAAGGUUGGGUAACACUAACUGGAGGACCGAACCGACUAAUGUUGAAAAAUUAGCGGAUGACCUGUGGCUGGGGGUGAAAGGCCAAUCAAACCGGGAGAUAGCUGGUUCUCCCCGAAAGCUAUUUAGGUAGCGCCUCGUGAAUUCAUCUCCGGGGGUAGAGCACUGUUUCGGCUAGGGGGCCAUCCCGGCUUACCAACCCGAUGCAAACUGCGAAUACCGGAGAAUGUUAUCACGGGAGACACACGGCGGGUGCUAACGUCCGUCGUGAAGAGGGAAACAACCCAGACCGCCAGCUAAGGUCCCAAAGUCAUGGUUAAGUGGGAAACGAUGUGGGAAGGCCCAGACAGCCAGGAUGUUGGCUUAGAAGCAGCCAUCAUUUAAAGAAAGCGUAAUAGCUCACUGGUCGAGUCGGCCUGCGCGGAAGAUGUAACGGGGCUAAACCAUGCACCGAAGCUGCGGCAGCGACACUGUGUGUUGUUGGGUAGGGGAGCGUUCUGUAAGCCUGUGAAGGUGGCCUGUG
RNAcentral lists this ribosomal RNA (775 nucleotides) under Salmonella enterica subsp. enterica serovar Agona. Its description in RNAcentral is "partial 23S ribosomal RNA". It matches the Rfam family "Bacterial large subunit ribosomal RNA", at positions 566 to 1265 of the family's 2925-position model. The record is from RNAcentral. Lineage: Bacteria; Pseudomonadati; Pseudomonadota; Gammaproteobacteria; Enterobacterales; Enterobacteriaceae.